This 380-nucleotide ribosomal RNA is filed under the name uncultured eukaryote. RNAcentral describes it as "partial 18S ribosomal RNA". It matches the Rfam family "Eukaryotic small subunit ribosomal RNA", at positions 592 to 976 of the family's 1831-position model. The record is from RNAcentral.
CAAUAGCGUAUAUUAAAGUUGUUGCGGUUAAAAAGCUCGUAGUUGGAGUUCUGCCAGGUGACACUCGUCCGCCCAAGUGGUGUGUACAGGGUGUGCAUCUGGCCCUUUCAAGGGGAACGUGUCUGCACUUCAUUGUGUGGUGCGAGAUCCUUGACUUUUACUUUGAGGAAAUAAGAGUGUUCCAAGCAGGCUCUCGUCGUGCAUAGCUCAGCAUGGAAUAAUAGCAUUGGACUUCGUUUCUACGCUGUUGGUUGCAAGAAGCGAGGUAAUGAUGAAGAGGGAUAGUUGGGGGCAUUCGUAUUUAACUGUCAGAGGUGAAAUUCUUGGAUUUGUUAAAGGCGGACUACUGCGAAAGCAUCUGCCAGGGAUGUUUUCAUUGA